RNAcentral lists this ribosomal RNA (446 nucleotides) under uncultured bacterium. RNAcentral describes it as "bacterial SSU rRNA". It matches the Rfam family "Bacterial small subunit ribosomal RNA", at positions 330 to 792 of the family's 1533-position model. The record is from RNAcentral.
UCCAGACUCCUACGGGAGGCAGCAGUGGGGGAUAUUGCACAAUGGGGGGAACCCUGAUGCAGCGACGCCGCGUGGGUGAAGGAGCGUUUCGGCGCGUAAAGCCCUAUCGGCAGGGAAGAAGGAGGACGGUACCUGACUAAGAAGCCCCGGCUAACUACGUGCCAGCAGCCGCGGUAAUACGUAGGGGGCAAGCGUUAUCCGGAUUUACUGGGGGUAAAGGGGGCGCAGACGGCAGCGCAAGCCAGGAGUGAAAGCCCGGGGCCCAACCGCGGGACUGCUCUUGGAACUGCGCGGCUGGAGGGCAGGAGGGGCAGGCGGAAUUCCUAGGGUAGCGGUGAAAUGCGUAGAUAUUAGGAGGAACACCAGUGGCGAAGGCGGCCUGCUGGGCUUUUACUGACGCUGAGGCUCGAAAGUGUGGGGAGCAAACAGGAUUAGAUACCCCGGUA